This 1479-nucleotide ribosomal RNA is filed under the name uncultured bacterium. Its description in RNAcentral is "16S ribosomal RNA". It matches the Rfam family "Bacterial small subunit ribosomal RNA". The record is from RNAcentral.
GUUUGAUCCUGGCUCAGGAUGAACGCUAGCGGCAGGCCUAAUACAUGCAAGUCGAGGGGGAAGGCUCUUUCGGGGGUACACGACCGGCGCACGGGUGAGUAACGCGUAUGCAACCUACCUGUAACAGAGGGAUAGCCCAUAGAAAUGUGAUUANNNNNNNNNNNNNNNNNNNNNNNCGCAUGGUACUUCAGAUAAAACUCCGGUGGUUAAAGAUGGGCAUGCGUGACAUUAGCUAGUUGGUAAGGUAACGGCUUACCAAGGCUACGAUGUCUAGGGGUUCUGAGAGGAUGAUCCCCCACACUGGUACUGAGACACGGACCAGACUCCUACGGGAGGCAGCAGUGAGGAAUAUUGGUCAAUGGGCGCAAGCCUGAACCAGCCAUCCCGCGUGCAGGAUGACGGCCCUAUGGGUUGUAAACUGCUUUUAUACACCAAGAAAAACAUCCACGUGUGGGUGCCCGACGGUAGUGUAUGAAUAAGCAUCGGCUAACUCCGUGCCAGCAGCCGCGGUAAUACGGAGGAUGCAAGCGUUAUCCGGAUUCAUUGGGUUUAAAGGGUGCGCAGGUGGGAAAAUAAGUCAGUGGUGAAAUACUGCCGCUUAACGGUAGAAUUGCCAUUGAUACUGUUUUUCUUGAGUAUGGUUGAGGUAGGUGGAAUGUGUAGUGUAGCGGUGAAAUGCUUAGAUAUUACACAGAACACCAAUUGCGAAGGCAGCUUACUAAACUGAUACUGACGCUGAUGCACGAAAGCGUGGGGAGCGAACAGGAUUAGAUACCCUGGUAGUCCACGCCGUAAACGAUGAGUGCUAGGUGUAGAGGGUAUCGACUUCAGUGACUGAGCGAAAGCAUUAAGUAAUCCACCUGGGGAGUACGUUCGCAAGAAUGAAACUCAAAGGAAUUGACGGGGGCCCGCACAAGCGGAGGAGCAUGUGGUUUAAUUCGAUGAUACGCGAGGAACCUUACCUGGGCUCGAACGUAUAGGGAAUUAUGCCGAAAGGUAUAAGCCAGCAAUGGCCGUAUACGAGGUGCUGCAUGGUUGUCGUCAGCUCGUGCCGUGAGGUGUUAGGUUAAGUCCUGCAACGAGCGCAACCCUUACCUUUAGUUGCCAGCGGGUCAAGCCGGGGACUCUAGCGAGACUGCCACCGUAAGGUGAGAGGAAGGUGGGGAUGACGUCAAAUCAGCACGGCCCUUAUGUCCAGGGCUACACACGUGUUACAAUGGCCGAUACAAAGGGCAGCUACUCCGCGAGGAGAUGCUAAUCUCUAAAGCCGGUCUCAGUUCGGAUUGGAGUCUGCAACUCGACUCCAUGAAGUUGGAUUCGCUAGUAAUCGCGCAUCAGCCAUGGCGCGGUGAAUACGUUCCCGGGCCUUGUACACACCGCCCGUCAAGCCAUGGAAGCUGGGGGUGCCUGAAGUUCGUGACCGCAAGGAGCGACCUAAGGCAAAACUGGUAACUGGGGCUAAGUCGUAACAAGGUAACC